CAUUGAUUUCGCCGUCGAACCCAUCCCAACGCAACGUUGAUGCGGGCGCGAGGUACGUCUCCGAUUCGGUCAAACGAAUCCGAAGAUGUUGAUCAAACAUCAAGAACAAAGUUGGUUGUCGUUGUCGUCAGAAAGUCUGGCGACUGUAAUUGUUGUCAUCGCAGGAGUGGGAGAAAAUCGAUGACUACUGUCACCAUCGGAACCCGACGAUAGUCAUCAACGAAAUCG
RNAcentral lists this long non-coding RNA (228 nucleotides) under Capsicum annuum. Its description in RNAcentral is "long non-coding RNA (CANN_LNC004046)". Lineage: Eukaryota; Viridiplantae; Streptophyta; Magnoliopsida; Solanales; Solanaceae. The record is from RNAcentral.